AUUGAACGCUGGCGGCAGGCCUAACACAUGCAAGUCGAGCGAGCGGCGGACGGGUGAGUAAUGUCUGGGAAACUGCCUGAUGGAGGGGGAUAACUGCUGGAAACGGUAGCUAAUACCGCAUCCCAUCAGAUGUGCCCAGAUGGGAUUAGCUAGUAGGUGGGGUAAUGGCUCACCUAGGCGACGAUCCCUAGCUGGUCUGAGAGGAGGACCAGCCACACUGGAACUGAGAUACGGGCCAGACUCCUACGGGAGGCAGCAGUGGGGAAUAGUGCACAAUGGGCGAAAGCCUGAUGCAGCCAUGCCGCGUGUGUGAAGAAGGCCUUCGGGUUGUAAAGCACUUUCAGCGAGGAGGCGUUACUCGCAGAAGAAGCACCGGCUAACUCCGUGCCAGCCGCCGCGGUAAUUC
RNAcentral lists this ribosomal RNA (406 nucleotides) under uncultured bacterium. RNAcentral's name for it is "partial 16S ribosomal RNA". It matches the Rfam family "Bacterial small subunit ribosomal RNA", at positions 30 to 526 of the family's 1533-position model. The record is from RNAcentral.